RNAcentral lists this ribosomal RNA (502 nucleotides) under uncultured bacterium. RNAcentral's name for it is "bacterial SSU rRNA". It matches the Rfam family "Bacterial small subunit ribosomal RNA", at positions 28 to 524 of the family's 1533-position model. The record is from RNAcentral.
GACGAACGCUGGCGGCGUGCUUAACACAUGCAAGUCGAGCGGUAAGGCCCUUUCGGGGGUACACGAGCGGCGAACGGGUGAGUAACACGUGGGUGACCUGCCCUCAGCUCUGGGAUAAGCCUGGGAGACUGGGUCUAAUACUGGAUAUGACUCCACGGUGCAUGUCGUGGGGUGGAAAGCCUUGUGCGGCUGAGGAUGGGCCCGCGGCCUAUCAGCUUGUUGGUGGGGUGAUGGCCUACCAAGGCGACGACGGGUAGCCGGCCUGAGAGGGCGACCGGCCACACUGGGACUGAGACACGGCCCAGACUCCUACGGGAGGCAGCAGUGGGGAAUCUUGCGCAAUGGGCGAAAGCCUGACGCAGCAACGCCGCGUGGAGGAUGAAGGCCCUUGGGUUGUAAACUCCUGUCGGCUGGGAAGAAAUCGUUCGGGGUUAAUACCCUCGGACGUUGACUGUACCAGCAAAGGAAGCCCGGCUAACUCUGUGCCAGCCGCCGCAGUAAU